UUAUCCCCGAGGGUGGGCACGGAGAGGUGGCCGACCCCCGCCAGCCGUUAGCUCGGUGCAAGGCCGUUAGCAGAGGGCUCGACCAGGUUGGGCGCUGCACAUUAUGGCUCUCUUCUUCACCUGGAAGCCAUCCUUCCCCUAAAAAGCUCGACUACUCCUCCGAGAACGGACGCUGGGAAAGCUCGCUCCCCUCCUGCCGGAGCUCGUGUCCAGGAGCAGUUCCCACGUCCGUCUGUCUGUCCGCUGCUGCCUGAGCUGUGAUCCCUUCCCUUCCCCCCGCCGCCCAUCAGACAAAGGGAGCGAGGCAGAGCGCAGCCCAGGAAGUGCGAGGUGGAAAGCUGCCCUCUUCCUAUUUGGCGACAGCGCCGAUUCCUCGGGGAUCCCACCUGAGAUUAAAGGCUGAAUUUCAAUAAAUCAGCUCUAAUGAAACCUCUGGCC
Molecule: long non-coding RNA, 438 nt
Organism: Coturnix japonica (Japanese quail)
Lineage: Eukaryota; Metazoa; Chordata; Aves; Galliformes; Phasianidae
Source: RefSeq, a predicted model, not a curated record